CAAAGAAAUACGCUUCGCUUCGCUACGAUACGAUUGAAGUGGAAAACAGGCUAAUAAGUCUAUUAUGAAUUUAAGAAACGUAGCUGGGAAUAUUCACAACAAACUUGGGAACCGUACCUUAAGAAUUGAAGAGUUAUUCAAUGAUAAAUAUAAUUCACUAUUGAUUAAUUUGGAUCAAGUAGGGUCAGUUAGGAACCAAAACACUAUUAGACCUCUAUUUAUAUGUACAUGUAUGUCUAGACGAUUUGCAAUUAAUGUUGUCUCUGUCUCAUGUACAAUGAAUGGACGUUUCGGUCAAAAUACUGUAGAAAAAGUGCUAUAAUAUAUACACAAGUUUCAUAUUAUUCUGACACUGCAAUCAACCAACGAAAAAUUCGUUGGUUCGAGCGGGAUUUGAACUCGGGAUUUGAUUUAGAUACCCGAAGAUGCGAGUUCAAAUCCCGCUCGAGCCAACGAAUUUUUGGUUGGUCGAUUGCAGUGUCAGAAUAAUAUGAAACUGGUUUUCGUAUCUCUGAGGAUGGUUCUGAAAAAGAAGUAUAUAUACAAGAUUAAUAAUUUGGCCUACACUAAACACAUGCUGGCGUUGUUCUUCGAGUAUUGCGGUAGGAAAACGAUCAUUUUUAAAUUUCUAAAAUAUUUUAUUUUUUGUACAAAUAGCUGAAAUUGUUUUGUACAAGUAGCUAUAUUUUUGCUAAAUUUCGACAAUCUGUAACGCAUUAUGUAUUUAUCUCACUCGUUUGAAUAAUAGUUGAAGGGUAUUGAUGUUAAUUUUCGAGUGCAAAUUUAAACGUUUAUUGCCAUUGGAUUUAACAUAAUUAGCCUUUCUCACGCCGCCACUUUUGGGGUACUCUAAUUUUUCGAAUGUCUACAAAAAAUUUAGGAAUAAACUUAACCAUUUGUUACGGAUUGCCAAACGUAAAUAUUAUGAAGGAAAACUUGAGAAUGCUAAAUCAAAUACCAAAAAUACUUGGAAGAUCUUAAACGAAGUACUAAAUAAGAAAC
Non-coding RNA from Paramuricea clavata, 1002 nucleotides. NCBI's taxonomy places the organism in Eukaryota, Metazoa, Cnidaria, Anthozoa, Malacalcyonacea, Plexauridae. The record is from the annotation of a GenBank genome assembly.